AGAUCUCGAUUUGGAGACUUGGCAUUUCUGUAUGGUAUCAGCGCCGCAGCCAUGCCCGGAUGCCAGGCGUGAGGACCCCCUUCGCGUGGAGUCCUAUGAAUCCUGGGUCACCAUUGAUAAUCUAUCGGAAGACGGGAGCAUGGACAGACUAUGGAGCCAGCUGUCCCAGGGAGAGAACUCAACAACAGAUAUCAAGAUCGAAGAUCUGGAAUGAAGAACCCCUGGGACAGCUGGCUCCAUAGUGUGUCCAUCGCUCCACCCAGGAUUCACAGGACUCCUCUGGAAGUCUGUCAAGACACCUUUUCGUGUUGCCGGAGGAGGAGAUCCAUUAAAGUAUUUCCUAUCAGGAAUCACCCUUCCUUUUUUCUUCUGCUUCUUUUAAUUUAAUUCACUGGUGUUUUAGAAAGGACCUGUGAUCCAGUGCAGACAUUUUGUUGUUUUCUCUCCCUCUCUAGUGCUCCGGAAGAAUCGAAAGAAUCCUCCUUCGUGGAUAUCUCUUUGGAGACUUCGCAUUUCUGGAUGGUAUCAGCAUCGCAGCCACACCCGGAUGCAAGGCGUGAGGACCCCCUUCGAGUGGAGUCCUAUGAAUCCUGGGUAAGGAGUGAAAGGGUGGGAUGGAAUGGCCCAUCAGA
Molecule: non-coding RNA, 632 nt
Organism: Anolis sagrei ordinatus
Lineage: Eukaryota; Metazoa; Chordata; Lepidosauria; Squamata; Anolidae
Source: RefSeq, a predicted model, not a curated record